Molecule: small RNA, 125 nt
Filed under: Marmota monax (woodchuck)
Lineage: Eukaryota; Metazoa; Chordata; Mammalia; Rodentia; Sciuridae
Source: RNAcentral
GCCAGGCGCAGUGGUGCACGCCUGUAAUCCCAGCCCCUCAGGAGGCUGAGGCAGGGGAAUCGUGAGUUCAAUGCCAGCCUCAGCAAAAGUGAGGCACUAAGCAACUCAGUGAGAUCUUGUCUCUA